Molecule: transfer RNA, 64 nt
Filed under: Cavia porcellus (domestic guinea pig)
Lineage: Eukaryota; Metazoa; Chordata; Mammalia; Rodentia; Caviidae
Rfam family: tRNA
About the family: Transfer RNA (tRNA) molecules are approximately 80 nucleotides in length. Their secondary structure includes four short double-helical elements and three loops (D, anti-codon, and T loops).
Source: Rfam by way of RNAcentral
GGGGUUUUAGCUCAGUGGCAUAAGCACCUGCCUUACAAGCAGGAAGUCCUGAGUUCAAUCCCUG